RNAcentral lists this long non-coding RNA (1128 nucleotides) under Equus caballus (horse). RNAcentral describes it as "lncRNA (ENSECAG00000046237.1)". The record is from RNAcentral. Lineage: Eukaryota; Metazoa; Chordata; Mammalia; Perissodactyla; Equidae.
AUUUUCCCAAAGACACACAGUUGAUAAGUGGCAAAACUGGGCUUUAAACUUAGGACAAUCUGAUUCCUAAAGUCAAGGUUAAGUACAUAUCAGGAAUGGGGGGUGGGGGUCUGUUCCUCUCUCAAAACAAGAGCUCUAGCCUUCGAAGAUUGUGGAUUCUAAUGCACACUCAGUAAUGAACCUAUGUACUAAGAAUCAUUAUGCUCAAACCGGCCUAUCUGUUGUAUCCAAAACUAUUGCCGUGGGAUUGCAAGAAUCAAACAUUGAUGGGAAAAUACUAGCUGCCAAGCGUCUGUUAGGAAACAGGGAUACAGGUCCUCGUCUUGAAGAAUUGACAGAGUAAUGGAGAGGAAAUGAUCACUGACAUAGCUGAUUUGUACAAAUGCAGCAAGACUGUCAGAAAAGCUGGGAUGAUUUCAGCCUUAGACGCAAGGCAUGAGGCCUGAAAAGUUUCUAGGAGAGGACUCAAACUCAACAAAGGAGUCAUUGGACGUAAAGAACUUGAUCUUCUUUAGAAGAAGCAAGUAGCAAGUCCUUAGAAUGUGGAGGAAACAGAGAUUCUGAGUCUGCGUGUUGGUUCUUAAGCAGCUCCGUCCCCAGCUAUAUUAGUUUCUUAUGACUGCUGUAACAAAUUGCUACAAACUUGGUGGCUUAAAACAAAAUUCGUUCUCCUACAGUUCUAGAGGCCCGAGUCUGAAAUGAGUUGUAAGGAGCUAAAAUCAAGAUGUUGACAGGCAUGUUCUCUCCAGAGGCUCUAGCAGAGAAUCUGUUUCCUUUGCAUUUUCCAGCAUCCACAGCUGCAUUCCUUGCCAUCAGUGUAGCAUCUUCUGUGACUCUCCUUCCAUCCCAUGGCCUGCUUCUCUUCUGUCUUAAAUCUCCCUCUGCCUCCUUCUAAGAAAACUUGUCAUUGCAUUUAGGGACCAUUUGGAUGAUCCAGAUGAGUGUUUCACUGUGGAUCCUUCUUGUGGAGUGAGGGACAGAAGACAGAUGGAGAGAGGAGGGUGGUAGGAUAGGGAGAGAAGUAUCUACCAGUUGGCCAGAAACCAGAUCACUAGAGGGAAUUAACUUGUAGGGUAUUAAAUCUUUUCAAUGAGCCCCUCAAGACGAUCUUGGAUCCUCACUUCGUAG